GUGGGGAAUCUUCCGCAAUGGGCGAAAGCCUGACGGAGCAACGCCGCGUGAGUGAAGAAGGUUUUCGGAUCGUAAAGCUCUUUCGUUAGGGACGAACGUGCUCUUUGUGAAUAAUGAGGAGUAAUGACGGUACCUAAAUAAGAAGCCACGGCUAACUACGUGCCAGCAGCCGCGGUAAUACGUAGGUGGCAAGCGUUGUCCGGAAUUAUUGGGCGUAAAGCGCGCGCAGGCGGGAUAUCAAGUCUGUCUUAAAAGUGCGAGGCUCAACCUCGUGAGGGGACAGAAACUGGUAUUCUUGAGUGUCGGAGAGGAAAGUGGAAUUCCAAGUGUAGCGGUGAAAUGCGUAGAGAUUUGGAAGAACACCAGUGGCGAAGGCGACUUUCUGGACGAUGUCUGACGCUGAGGCGCGAAAGCUAGGGGAGCGAACGGGAUUAGAAACCCUGGUAGUCC
This 450-nucleotide ribosomal RNA is filed under the name uncultured bacterium. RNAcentral describes it as "partial 16S ribosomal RNA". It matches the Rfam family "Bacterial small subunit ribosomal RNA", at positions 354 to 796 of the family's 1533-position model. The record is from RNAcentral.